Molecule: non-coding RNA, 47 nt
Organism: Lingula anatina
Lineage: Eukaryota; Metazoa; Brachiopoda; Lingulata; Lingulida; Lingulidae
Source: Rfam
ACUUUGGACCUUUUAAGGUCCAUCAGUCUUAUACAGGACAUUUACAU